RNAcentral lists this unclassified non-coding RNA (251 nucleotides) under fungal sp. Its description in RNAcentral is "partial internal transcribed spacer region". The stretch from base 1 to 46 matches the Rfam family "Eukaryotic small subunit ribosomal RNA", at positions 1786 to 1831 of the family's 1831-position model. Lineage: Eukaryota; Fungi. RNAcentral also lists the same sequence under 1 other name. The record is from RNAcentral.
AAGUCGUAACAAGGUAACCGUAGGUGAACCUGCGGUUGGAUCAUUAAUAAAAUUAUAUAGAAGAACUCCUAAUAAGAGAUCUAUCUAUCACAUCUUGUGAAUUAUUCAUGUCUCUGGUGUGUUAAUAAUUAGUUUAUCUUUUUGCUACACACACCAGAUAAACUUUUAUAAACUUUUGUCUAAACUUUUAAGCCUAAAAAAUCUAAAAAAAAAAGUAAAAACAACUUUUGACAACGGAUCUCUAGGCUCUC